This 874-nucleotide ribosomal RNA is filed under the name uncultured Planctomycetales bacterium. RNAcentral describes it as "SSU rRNA". It matches the Rfam family "Bacterial small subunit ribosomal RNA", at positions 8 to 916 of the family's 1533-position model. Lineage: Bacteria; Pseudomonadati; Planctomycetota; Planctomycetia; Planctomycetales. The record is from RNAcentral.
AGAGUUUGAUCCUGGCUCAGAACGAACGUUGGCGGCAUGGAUUAGGCAUGCAAGUCGAGGGAAUCCCAGCAAUGGGGGAACCGGCGUAAGGGGCAGUAAGGCAUGGGUACCUACCCCGGGGUUCGGGAUAGCCACCAGAGAUGGUGGGUAAUACCGGAUGACCUCGUGAGAGCAAAGAUUUAUCGCCCUGGGAGGGGCCCAUGUGAUAUUAGCUAGUUGGUGAGGUAACGGCUCACCAAGGCGAAGAUGUCUAGCGGGUGUGAGAGCACGACCCGCGCCACUCGCACUGAGACACUGGCGAGACACCUACGGGUGGCUGCAGUCGAGGAUCUUCGGCAAUGGGCGAAAGCCUGACCGAGCGAUGCCGCGUGCGCGAUGAAGGCCUUCGGGUUGUAAAGCGCGAAAGAGGGGAGAAAAGCCCGCAAGGGUUUGAUCUAUCCUCAGUAAGCUCGGGCUAAGUUCGUGCCAGCAGCCGCGGUAAGACGAACCGAGCGAACGUUGUUCGGAAUCACUGGGCUUAAAGGGCGCGUAGGCGGGCUGUCAAGUCUGGGGUGAAAUCCCGCGGCUCAACCGUGGAACUGCCUCAGAUACUGACGGUCUCGAGGGAGGUAGGGGCGAGCGGAACUGAUGGUGGAGCGGUGAAAUGCGUUGAUAUCAUCAGGAACUCCGGUGGCGAAGGCGGCUCGCUGGACCUCUUCUGACGCUGAGGCGCGAAAGCUAGGGGAGCAAACGGGAUUAGAUACCCCGGUAGUCCUAGCCCUAAACGUUGGGUACUAGGUAGUAGACUAGACAUGGGUUUACUGCCGAAGCAAAAGUGCUAAGUACCCCGCCUGGGGAGUAUGGUCGCAAGGCUGAAACUCAAAGGAAUUGACGG